RNAcentral lists this unclassified non-coding RNA (322 nucleotides) under Hevea brasiliensis (rubber tree). Lineage: Eukaryota; Viridiplantae; Streptophyta; Magnoliopsida; Malpighiales; Euphorbiaceae. The record is from RNAcentral.
AGAUUAUGGAGAGAAUUCACCAAAGUGCAAUAGCUGUCCAUGCAAACUAACCACCUUCUAGUUGUCAAAGCAUGAUCUUCACGAUUCAAAUUAAAGAACAAUAUGUUCCACUGUUCACAUCAAAAUUUAGCUUAAUCGGACCACAAAUUGCCUUCCAAUUGUCAGAAAUGAUGAAACUGGUUUAUGUUAAAAAUCAAUGAAAAACACCAAAAACUAAAGAAACAGAACUCCAAAUAAGUUCUCCACCAUUUGCAAUGAAGAACCAGAUGUUAGGAUCUUGUGAACCAAAUUUGAGCUCGAUCCAACAGUAAACAAGCUCCCA